GGUACUCAUUCUCGGCC
This 17-nucleotide small RNA is filed under the name Arabidopsis thaliana (thale cress). Lineage: Eukaryota; Viridiplantae; Streptophyta; Magnoliopsida; Brassicales; Brassicaceae. The record is from RNAcentral.